Molecule: transfer RNA, 72 nt
Filed under: Danionella dracula
Lineage: Eukaryota; Metazoa; Chordata; Actinopteri; Cypriniformes; Danionidae
Description: tRNA-Ile
Source: RNAcentral
GGAACCGUGCCCGAGAGAAUAGGGACCACUUUGAUAGAGUGAACUACAGGGGAUAAAAUCCCCUCGGUUCUU